CCCCCCCCCCCACACACACACACUGAAAGCCCUAUUAAAGUAAUGAGAUGAUUUGUGAAAAAGCCUAUCCGCACUGGAAGAAUGUUUCUAUGGCCCAAUCAAAACAGCUAAUUAAUUGGUAGAGCCCUACAACAAGCAUGGAGUAUCUGCUAACCACACGCCGGAUAGAACACAUCACCUGUGAACGGAUGCUAGGGCCGUUGAAGGAUGCUGAAGAGCAGGAGUAGGCCAACAAAUGUCCUCUUGAGACCUCACGUCCUCAAGUGUCCCCUUCUGAAAAGACCCACCUUUCAAUAACGUCAUCAUACCAGGCUGCCAUGACGGGAAUCAACCUACCAAAAUGAAGUCAGAGCCCUCGGGAUCCAAUCACUUCCGCCAAGCCCACAGUACAUGACCUGUGAGGUCCCUUCCUGUUCACUCAGGCAUCCAUCAGCAGCUGCUUGGAAGAUGCACUGGAUCUGUGUGUAAAGGCCCAAGGCAGCCCUCCGAGGCUGGGCUCCGCACCCUGGCCUUGAGGUCUGAGUCACAUACCAAAGGAAGCUUGUUUCUAAGGGAGCUUUGAAAACCUUCACUGUCUUCCUUUCCUCUCCUGCUCACUCCAUUCUCCACUGGUUGUUUUUUUGUUUGUUUUGUUUUGUUUUUUAGUGCGUGUGUCCAUGCAUGCUUGCACGUGUGUAGUAGGUGCAGAGACCAAAA
Long non-coding RNA from Mus musculus (house mouse), 696 nucleotides. RefSeq annotates it as predicted gene, 35297. NCBI's taxonomy places the organism in Eukaryota, Metazoa, Chordata, Mammalia, Rodentia, Muridae. The record is from RefSeq and is a predicted model, not a curated record. The transcript has 3 exons.